This 69-nucleotide transfer RNA is filed under the name Heterocephalus glaber (naked mole-rat). It matches the Rfam family "tRNA". Rfam says of the family: Transfer RNA (tRNA) molecules are approximately 80 nucleotides in length. Their secondary structure includes four short double-helical elements and three loops (D, anti-codon, and T loops). The record is from Rfam by way of RNAcentral. Lineage: Eukaryota; Metazoa; Chordata; Mammalia; Rodentia; Bathyergidae.
UGGUGUAGCUCAGUGGUAGAGCACUUGCCUAGCAUGCAAAAAGUCCUGGAUUCAAUCACCCCAGCACCA